AGAGUUUGAUCAUGGCUCAGAUUGAACGUUGGCGGCAGGUUUCAUACAUGCAAGUCGAACGAGUAAUCACCCUUCGGGGUGUGCGCUAGUGGCGGACGGGUGAGUAACGCGUAGGAAUCUACCUAGUAGUGGGGAAUAACGUCAGGAGACUGAUGCUAAUACCGCAUACUACCUAAGGGUGAAAGCGGGGGAUCUUUUGACCUCGCGCUAUUAGAGGAGCCUGCGUUAGAUUAGCUUGUUGGUGAGGUAAUGGCUCACCAAGGCGACGAUCUAUAGCUGGUCUGAGAGGAUGAUCAGCCACACUGGAACUGAGACACGGUCCAGACUUCUAGGAAGGCAGCAGUAGAGAAUAUUGCACAAUAGGGGAAACCCAGAUGCAGGCAUGCCGCGUGUGUGAUUGAAGGCCCUUUGGGUUGUAAAGCACUUUCGAUGGUGAAGAGAGCCGGCGCGCUAAUACCGCGAUCC
RNAcentral lists this ribosomal RNA (465 nucleotides) under uncultured Gammaproteobacteria bacterium. RNAcentral's name for it is "bacterial SSU rRNA". It matches the Rfam family "Bacterial small subunit ribosomal RNA", at positions 8 to 473 of the family's 1533-position model. The record is from RNAcentral. Lineage: Bacteria; Pseudomonadati; Pseudomonadota; Gammaproteobacteria.